GAUUGCUUAUGCUGUAUACAAAGUGCAUCCAGAUGGUGUCCUUACUAACGGCGAAUUGUCUUGUCUUUUGAGAUUACUGUUGUUGUACAAAGAAUGGAGGGAGGGAAGAACAAGCAGCUAGUCACUUGAGGAACUAACGGUAUAGAAGUGAAGGUAGAAGAAAAAUAAUAAAAGGAAAAGAAGGGACUUCAGGGAAUGGGGACAAAUUGACAAUACAAUUGAUUAACACGAAGCAAAAUCGGUGAACUAAGCUUCAAGGGCAAAAACCUAGGUGUAACUGAGUGAUGCAAGAAAUCUUGCUUAGGGGCAUAUCACAACAUCUACAAGGAAAAGAACAAGGAGCACAAGCGAACAUCAAUGCACAAUGAAAAUUAGUACUGGUGAGUUUCCAUAGUUUAGAAAUCUUUUUUAAAAUGUUGAUUGCCUUUAUUCACUUUGAGUUUUGUCAUCAGCAUCGACCAAUUGAAACCUGAUUUGGUAGUUCAGUUUGUCCAUAGGGAUCCAAGUGUAGACCCGGAUGUUUGGUACCUUACUGAAUUUUGCUGCUGAGAUAUAAGCUUAGAGAUUAAACAUA
Molecule: long non-coding RNA, 574 nt
Organism: Lolium rigidum
Lineage: Eukaryota; Viridiplantae; Streptophyta; Magnoliopsida; Poales; Poaceae
Exons: 3
Source: RefSeq, a predicted model, not a curated record